UACAGAGGUCUCAAGCGUUGUUCGGAUUCAUUGGGCGUAAAGGGUGCGUAGGCGGCGCGGUAAGUCGGGUGUGAAAUCUCGGAGCUUAACUCCGAAACUGCAUUCGAUACUGCCGUGCUUGAGGACUGGAGAGGAGACUGGAAUUUACGGUGUAGCGGUGAAAUGCGUAGAUAUCGUAAGGAAGACCAGUGGCGAAGGCGGUUCUCUGGGCCUUACCUGACACUGAGGAGCGAAAGCGUGGGGAGCGAACAGG
Molecule: ribosomal RNA, 253 nt
Filed under: uncultured bacterium
Lineage: Bacteria
Description: partial 16S ribosomal RNA
Rfam family: Bacterial small subunit ribosomal RNA
Source: RNAcentral